Molecule: ribosomal RNA, 520 nt
Filed under: uncultured beta proteobacterium
Lineage: Bacteria; Pseudomonadati; Pseudomonadota; Betaproteobacteria
Description: bacterial SSU rRNA
Rfam family: Bacterial small subunit ribosomal RNA
Source: RNAcentral
GGAAUUUGGGACAAUGGGCAAACGCCUGAUCCAGCAAUCCCGCGUGCAGGAUGAAGGCCUUCGGGUUGUAAACUGCUUUAGUACGGAAAGAAAAGCUUAGAGUUAAUACCGUGGGGUCAUGACGGUACCGUAAGAAUAAGCACCGGCUAAUUACGUGCCAGCAGCCGCGGUAAUACGUAGGGUGCAAGCGUUAUUCGGAAUUAUUGGGCGUAAAGCGUGCGCGGGCGGUUUUGUAAGACAGAGGUGAAAUCCCCGGGCUCAACCUGGGAAUUGCCUUUGUGAUUGCAAGGCUGGAGUGCGGCAGAGGGGGAUGGAAUUCCGCGUGUAGCAGUGAAAUGCGUAGAUAUGCGGAGGAACACCGAUGGCGAAGGCAAUCCCUUGGGCCUGCACUGACGCUCAUGCACGAAAGCGUGGGGAGCAAACAGGAUUAGAUACCCUGGUAGUCCACGCCCUAAACGAUGUCAACUGGUUGUUGGGUCUUAACUGACUCAGUAACGAAGCUAACGCGUGAAGUUGACCG